UGGGGAACAGGGAUUGCCCUAGUAACGGCGAGUGAAGCGGCAACAGCUCAAAUUUGAAAUCUGGCCCUUGGGUCCGAGUUGUAAUUUGCAGAGGAUGCUUUUGGUGCGGUGCCUUCCGAGUUCCCUGGAACGGGACGCCAUAGAGGGUGAGAGCCCCGUCCGGUUGGAUGCCUAGCCUCUGUAAAGCUCCUUCGACGAGUCGAGUAGUUUGGGAAUGCUGCUCUAAAUGGGAGGUAUAUGUCUUCUAAAGCUAAAUACCGGCCAGAGACCGAUAGCGCACAAGUAGAGUGAUCGAAAGAUGAAAAGCACUUUGAAAAGAGGGUUAAAUAGUACGUGAAAUUGUUGAAAGGGAAGCGUUUGUGACCAGACUUGGGCUCGGUUAAUCAUCCAGCGUUCUCGCUGGUGCACUUUGCCGGCCCAGGCCAGCAUCAGUUCGUCGCGGGGGAUAAAGGCUUCGGGAACGUGGCUCCCUCGGGAGUGUUAUAGACCGUUGCGUAAUACCCUGCGAUGGACUGAGGUUCGCGCUCUGCAAGGAUGCUGGCGUAAUGGUCAUCAACGACCCGUCUUGAAACACGGACCAAGGAGUCGUCUUCGUAUGCGAGUGUUCGGGUGUCAAACCCCUACGCGUAAUGAAAGUGAACGCAGGUGAGAGCUUCGGCGCAUCAUCGACCGAUCCUGAUGUUCUCGGAUGGAUUUGAGUAAGAGCAUACGGGGCCGGACCCGAAAGAAGGUGAACUAUGCCUGUAUAGGGUGAAGCCAGAGGAAACUCUGGUGGAGGCUCGCAGCGGUUCUGACGUGCAAAUCGAUCGUCAAAUAUGGGCAUGGGGGCGAAAGACUAAUCGAACCUUCUAGUAGCUGGUUUCCGCCGAAUUUUCC
RNAcentral lists this ribosomal RNA (876 nucleotides) under Chrysonectria finisterrensis. Its description in RNAcentral is "LSU rRNA". It matches the Rfam family "Eukaryotic large subunit ribosomal RNA", at positions 56 to 971 of the family's 3401-position model. Lineage: Eukaryota; Fungi; Ascomycota; Sordariomycetes; Hypocreales; Chrysonectriaceae. The record is from RNAcentral.